Long non-coding RNA from Anolis carolinensis (green anole), 4339 nucleotides. RefSeq lists it as uncharacterized. The record is from RefSeq and is a predicted model, not a curated record. The transcript is spliced from 4 exons. NCBI's taxonomy places the organism in Eukaryota, Metazoa, Chordata, Lepidosauria, Squamata, Anolidae.
UAUCUGAGUCUACACUGCCAUAUAAUCCAGUUCAAAGAAAAUAAUCUGGAUUAUAUAUGGCAGUGUAGACGAGACCUCAGAUUGUGGGGAUUGCACGUAAUAUUCACUGUUAAUUGUUAUUUCAAUUGUUGCUUUUUUGCUUAAUUUGUUUUUACUGCUGUCGUUAACUGCUUUGAACACUUUAUUUUAACUGAAGAAAGGAGAGAAAUAUAGGGAAAUAAACAGAUAUGUCUAAUGACAUUUAACAGUGUAUUGCUAUCAGCCAUAGCCUGUGCCACAAGCUUGAUUUGUAAUGCUGCUCCAAUAUCAGGCGGCUAGUCAGAUAACACUGAAAUCAUUCAUAAUGUAAAGAUCCGAGAUUGAAUGUUUUUUAUCUUGCAAAUACAGGAUGUCGGGUGCAUUUCUCUCUUAAAUUAUCCUGUAACUUGUCAGGUUGAAACAGGGGGCUUUUCUCAGUGUUCUGAGACAGACUCUCUGGGCCCUUUGCUCCUAUAAGAUUUAAGGUAAUGUGGGUGAUCCUUCUGCGUAGUGUGUCAUGUGGGUGAUCCAUGUCUCUCUGUUACCUUGGAAGAGGUACAGACCCAGAAGUAAGUCCAAGAUAAUAGGCUGAAGGCACAAUCCCUCUUCUCUUAGGGAAAAGUUAUUACCCCUACAAACAGCAGUUUGUUUUUUGAUUUUCCAUGGUCCAGCCCUGUAUUUAGAACAGAAGGAUACUUUAGAUGCCCUAAUAGUGCUCAUUACUCUGAAUAUGCACAUUGACAAAGGAAGGGGCUUGGCUUUUGGGGGCUGCAGGAAAGUUAUGAUCUACACCUUGUACUGGUGCCGUGUUCUUAUGUUUUUUUUAUUUUCCUGUUUUAAUGUUUGUUUAAAUUGUAGCAUGCAAUUAAUUUAACUGAAGGAAAAGAAGCUUAUUAACUAGAUUCAUCUUAGAAUGUGAGAAUAAAUCACGGCUCCUGUUGAGAAAGCAGUAAAAGAAUUGAUGAAAAUUAACCACAAGAUUAUCAGUCUUAAUGAAAAGAUUUGUUUUCCCUUCUAAGUAAUACUGAUCCAGUGAGACACAGCAUUUGUUGCUUAAGUUUUGCAUGAAAUGUACUGUUGAUGUGAGAUACUAAUUGUUGUUGUAAUAUUCACAACAACUAUAAUGAUAAUAGCAAUAAUACAUUAAUUAUUAGUGUUGGCACGGGCAAAAGUUGCAGUAGCCAAAAUAACAGCAGCAAAUUAAAUAAAUGUUAUUCAUUUAUAAUGUAAAAGUCAUUGAUGUAUGUACACACAUUGUACAAGUUUACAGAGUAACAUCAACACAAUGUAGAUCCUUGCCUAAAGGAACUUACAAUUUUGAGAGGGAGGAGUAGAGAGGAGCCAAGACAAAAAGUGAGAGCAUGAAAGAAACAACCUGCAAAAAGAGUGACAGCUGCAGAAGUUUAAAUUGCAUCUACAUGUUAGAAUUAAUGCAGUUUGAUACCACUUUAACUGCCAUUGCUUACUGCUGUGAAAUCAAGGGAGUGGUAGUUUCAUGAGUCAGCAGAACUAUUUGCCAGAGAAGGCUAAAGACCUUGUAAAACUGUUUUCAUAUUUGUAUAUUUUAAAUUAUACUGAAAUGCCUUUAGUGUGAGCCACUUUGAGUCUCCAUGUGGAGAGAAAAAGCAGGAUAUAAAUAUAAUAAUAAUAUAUUUAAUAUUGUUGCCAUCCCAGGUGACAGUCGCAUUGAUGAAAAACAACAGGAAAAACUCAGCUGCUAUCAGAACCUCAAGACUGAACUUCAAAGACUCUGGCAGAAACCAGUACAGGUGGUCCCGGUGGUGAUGGGCACAUUGGGUGCCGUGCCAAAAGAUCUCAGCCGGCAUUUGGAAACAAUAGACAUUGACAAAAUUACGAUCUGCCAACUGCAAAAGGCCACCCUACUGGGAUCUGCACGCAUCAUCCGAAAAUAUAUCACACAGUCCUAGACACUUGGGAAGUGUUCGACUUGUGAUUUUGUGAAACGAAACCCAGCAUAUCUAUCUUGUUUGCGGUGUCAUACAACAACAACAACAACAACAACAACAAUAAUAUCUUGAUUUCAUAGUAUUGAGCCAUUCAGUCACGGUGGCGCAAUGGGUUAACCCUUGUGCCGGCUGGACUGCUGACCUGAAGGUUGGGUUGCUGACCUGAAGGUUGCCAGUUUGAAUCUACAAUAUGAUAUGUACUCUCGUCUGUCAGCUCUAGCUUGCGGGGACAUGAGAGAAGCCUCCCAGCAACACAUCCCCAUGUCCCCUGGGCAACAUCUCUAUAGACUGCUAAUUCUUUCACACCGGAAGCAACUUGCAAUAUGUUCUUAGGUCAUUUCUGACAUGAUGAAAAAAGCCAUGGCAGUUAAAUGGUGUCAAACUGCAUUAAUUCUGCAGUGUAAAUGCACCCUUAUUUUAUGUAAGUGCUUAGAGAACUAAAGUUUCCAGAGUGAGUGAGAUUUAUGAGGAUAAGCUAAAGGCUUCAUGUAAGCUUAUAGCUUCUAAAGAAGAGGAGGGAAAGAGAGAUGGAGCUAGGAAAAGUUUCUUUGGGAGGGAUUAUAUGAGGAGGGAUUCAAAGAGAAGGAGGGAAGAUCCCAUUGAAAAGAAUGUUAAAACUGGGGGGUUUCAAAAUGGGAAGAUCAUAAAAAGGAUGUUAAAAAUCUACUGGUCUACUCAAGAGGAGGUGAAGAUCCUUUUAAAAGAAGUGUUUAAAACUGUGAAAUCACCAACCUGUGUGAUGGGGAAUUAAGCAGAUGGUUGUACUCUAAAAGGAGGAGUCAGUCUUGUGUGAUAGGCAUAAAUAAAUUCUCCAUCUUCUUUAAAUACCAUGCAAAGAAGACAAUUCCAAAAGGGAUGAGGUAUCAUCUAAAAUUUGAUUUUUUCCCAGGAUUUGAACACAGACGUGAAUCCUUCAAGGGAGAGAUAGGAGAACGAGCGAGAAUACAUAAUGAAAAGCUGCAUUUUCUGGGUACAUGCACCCAUUUGCAGCGGAUGAACCAUAUGUGAAGUGACAUACAAUACUGAAUGGAGGCUGAAUGGUGUCCAGUGCUAAAAACAGUGCAAGUCCAGGAACAAAAAGCAGGAGAACAAGAGCCCUGUGCUGGGCCGGCCUCGCUUGAACACCAGGGGAUUCGCUACUAAAACAUGGGUUUGAUUGAGAAAUGACAUGAUGUUUGUCCCUUCUGAGAACCAUCUAAGGCAUCUUUGUCAAAAAAAAAUAUAUGCUGGCUUCAGGAAUCAUUAUAAUACUAUCCUCUAAUAUCUGCUUUGUUCUCAGUGGGGCUCAUUUCCAGCCUAUUUAUGAGCUGCGAUCAAUAUUAGAACUAGAGACACUAGAGAGAGACACAAACCAAGACUGCAAAACAGUUUGAGAAAGACUGGUUUACGUCCUGGCAGAGGCACAAAUAAUCUACUUACAGUAUCGGAUUAUGAUGCACUUUCUGAAUCAUGAAUUAAAUUACACCUGUUAACAUUUAAAUAUCUGUGAUGUAAAUGAUUCAGUUUAACGUUCAUAAGAUGUUAGUUUAAUCUCUGAAUACCAGUUAACUUAAAGAUGGAAAUAUGUAUAACGAGAUAGAUUUUCUAAUUAAAUUUUCAGCUUAUAAAAUCAGUACUUAUGCAUUUUAGUUAUGCCAAACAGAUGAACAGAAGAAAAACAGGUUCUGUUACUGCAUUGUACAUUUUAGGUUUUUUUCUUGAUUAAAACUUCCUUAACGAGUUUUAACUACAGAUACUUAUUAUUUAGGAAAGCGACCAAAACUUAUUUAUAUGCUAUUCUCUCUAAAGGUAUGAAGCCUCUCAGACUGCACAACGUCUUCCUUCAUUUGUUUAAAAAUGACUUCCAAAUAAAAAUACUCUAAACCUACACCAAAUAUUCUAAAUGUACAAUCGCAAUAAAUAACAUAAAAAAUAAUAUGAAAUACCACCAUUGGUUCUUCUGUUUUGUAGUUCCAAGAAAAAGUAAGCCCUUCAGAUUUGCAUUUAUGUUAAUCACAGUUCUCAUACAUACUAAAGAUUUUUCAAAUGAUCUGUUUACUUAAAUUUUUUAAAUAAAGGAUUUUUAGGUGAUAGUUUUAGGCUAUUUUUGUUUAAUAAACAAAGUUAAAAUGGAUCAAAUCUAGACAUCUAGUGAAAAGCAUCUUUCAUUUAGCUUUUGCUGUCAUCACUUCUGACCUAAGGUGACCCUAAGAUGAACAUAUUAUGAGGUUUUGUUGACAAGAUUUGUUCAGAGGGAUUUGCCCUUGCCUUCCUCUGUGGCUGAGAGAGUGUGACGUGCCUAUGGUCACCCAGUGAACUUUCAAAUCCUGGUCUCUAGAUUCACAGUUCAACACUCCAACAUAUAUGUAAAUUCA